UAAAGGAGUCUCCGAGGUUCUGCACAGGAUCCACCAUGACACGGCCGUAGAUGAUGUCACCUACCGGGAAAACAAAACAAAAGCACACUGACUUGCAGAAUGCAGUGUCGCUUUCUUGCCCGAAUCCCAUGGAACCAUCUGACAACCACAGAGUCCUCUUAGAGAGCAGCAGCAUCUGUGUGUUCAGGCUGAAUUCUGCAGCUACAGGGUCACUCACCUGCACGCACACACACAUACACAUAUAUAAUUUAACUGCAAUUGUAAAACUGUGUGCAUUCAAUUCCACGUCGUAGAUUUUUAAAUUAUUGAUGUAUUUUUUGUAUUAGACAACACUUCCUCAACGUGUAAAAAAAAAAAAUCAUCAUUAUCUUCAUAAAUAUAAACUGGAAUUAAGAAUCACGUGAACCAUGAAGCCAUGUAAUUUUCUGUAUUAAAUGCAUGACUAAUGGC
Molecule: long non-coding RNA, 450 nt
Organism: Ictalurus furcatus (blue catfish)
Lineage: Eukaryota; Metazoa; Chordata; Actinopteri; Siluriformes; Ictaluridae
Exons: 2
Source: RefSeq, a predicted model, not a curated record